GAUGAAGAACGUAGCGAAAUGCGAUAAGUAAUGUGAAUUGCAGAAUUCAGUGAAUCAUCGAAUCUUUGAACGCACAUUGCGCCCGCCAGUAUUCUGGUGGGCAUGCCUGUUCGAGCGUCAUUACAACCCUCAGGCCCCCGGGCCUGGCGUUGGGGAUCGGCGGAAGCCCCCUGCGGGCACAACGCCGUCCCCCAAAUACAGUGGCGGUCCCGCCGCAGCUUCCAUUGCGUAGUAGCUAACACCUCGCAACUGGAGAGCGGCGCGGCCACGCCGUAAAACACCCAACUUCUGAAUGUUGACCUCGAAUCAGGUAGGAAUACCCGCUGAACUUAAGCAUAUCAAUAGCGGAGGA
This 352-nucleotide unclassified non-coding RNA is filed under the name soil metagenome. Its description in RNAcentral is "partial contains 5.8S ribosomal RNA, internal transcribed spacer 2, and large subunit ribosomal RNA". The stretch from base 1 to 120 matches the Rfam family "5.8S ribosomal RNA", at positions 35 to 154 of the family's 154-position model. The record is from RNAcentral.